GGAUGGCUGAAAUAUGAUGAGUAUACAAAAUCUUGAUAAAAAAUGAGAACAUAUAAGAUCCAACUCUGAUUUCAUCCAGAG
Small nucleolar RNA from Pteropus vampyrus (large flying fox), 81 nucleotides. Ensembl annotates it as small nucleolar RNA, C/D box 19B. The record is from Ensembl. NCBI's taxonomy places the organism in Eukaryota, Metazoa, Chordata, Mammalia, Chiroptera, Pteropodidae.